GACGAACGCUGGCGGCGUGCUUAACACAUGCAAGUCGAACGGAAAGGCCUGCUUUCCCUUGUGGAUUGCGGGUACUCGAGUGGCGAACGGGUGAGUAACACGUGAGUGAUCUGCCCCCAACUUGGGUAUAAGCCUGGGAAACUGGGUCUAAUUCCCGAUAGGACUGCAGGGUGGUGCCUGUGGUGGAAAACGAUUUUCUAGUGGUUGGGGAUGAGCUCGCGGCCUAUCAGCUUGUUGGUGGGGUAAUGGCCUACCAAGGCGGCGACGGGUAGCCGGCCUGGGGGGGGGGAGGGGCAAUUGGGAGACGGGGACCGGCCCAGACCCCGACGGGGGGGGGAGGGGGGGAAUAUUGCACAAGGGGGGGAAGGCUGAGCCAGGGGCGCCGGGUGGGGGAGGACGGCCUUGGGGUUGUAAACCCCUUUGGACCGCGGGGAAGCCACCUGGUUGGAAGGGUGGUGACGGUAGUUGUAGAAGAAGCACCGGCUAACUACGU
RNAcentral lists this ribosomal RNA (493 nucleotides) under uncultured bacterium. RNAcentral describes it as "partial 16S ribosomal RNA". It matches the Rfam family "Bacterial small subunit ribosomal RNA", at positions 28 to 506 of the family's 1533-position model. The record is from RNAcentral.